GAUGAAGAACGCAGCGAAAUGCGAUAAGUAAUGCGAAUUGCAGAAUUUCCGUGAGUCAUCGAAUCUUUGAACGCAUCUUGCGCUCCUUGGUAUUCCGAGGAGCAUGCCUGUUUGAGUGUCGUGAAUACUCUCAACUUCAACCCUUUUUUCGGAAAGGGAGGAAGGUUGGACUUGGGUGUUUGUUGAAGUGCGAGCUUCGACUCAUCCUAAAUGCAUUAGCGAUCUGCCUCGAUCACACACAAUGUGAUAAUUAAAACUAAAGCAUUGUUUAAUGAUCAAGUCGAGACUGCUUCUAACUGUCGCAAGACAAUAACGUGCAUACAUUUGUGCAUGUCAUUUGACCUCAAAUCAGGUAGGACUACCCGCUGAACUUAAGCAUAUCAAUAAGCGGAGGA
This 395-nucleotide unclassified non-coding RNA is filed under the name soil metagenome. RNAcentral describes it as "partial contains 5.8S ribosomal RNA, internal transcribed spacer 2, and large subunit ribosomal RNA". The stretch from base 1 to 121 matches the Rfam family "5.8S ribosomal RNA", at positions 35 to 154 of the family's 154-position model. The record is from RNAcentral.